RNAcentral lists this ribosomal RNA (253 nucleotides) under uncultured bacterium. Its description in RNAcentral is "partial 16S ribosomal RNA". It matches the Rfam family "Bacterial small subunit ribosomal RNA", at positions 524 to 776 of the family's 1533-position model. The record is from RNAcentral.
UACGUAGGUGGCAAGCGUUGUCCGGAAUUACUGGGUGUAAAGCGCGUGUAGGCGGCAGGCCAAGUCUGCGGUGAAAGCGCCCGGCUCAACUGGGCGAGGUCCGUGGAAACUGGUCAGCUGGAGGACGGUAGAGGCGAGUGGAAUUCCCGGUGUAGUGGUGAAAUGCGUAGAGAUCGGGAGGAACACCCAUGGCGAAGGCAGCAGACUGGGCAUCACCUGACGCUGAGGCGCGAAAGCGUGGGUAGCAAACAGG